RNAcentral lists this long non-coding RNA (896 nucleotides) under Callithrix jacchus (white-tufted-ear marmoset). RNAcentral describes it as "lncRNA (ENSCJAG00000048971.3)". The record is from RNAcentral. Lineage: Eukaryota; Metazoa; Chordata; Mammalia; Primates; Cebidae.
AUGGGAGUGUUAUAUGGAGACAUACAGCUUCGAGAAGCCCAUCCUUGGAAUUCCCCAGAAUCAUUCCAUCCUUGCCCUGUCCUGUCUUCCCGUUGUGAUGUUUUUUUUCUGCUGUUAAAGAGAGCUGAAGGUACUAGACUAUGCAGAGAAUAAAUAGGCCCCCAGACUUUCCUGGCGGGGUCCCCGGGUCAAUGCUCUUCAGAAGCACUGGCUGAUUCUGACCUUUGCGGCCUCUUCUCCUACAACACCAGUGCUCUUAGUGGCUCAUGUUUGUCAAGACAACAAUGUUGACUUUGGAACCUGUGAUCUCUGGUCACAUACUACUCUGCAGACCAGCCAUCUGAACUUGGAAGCACAGCUGGACUGGAAGAAAACUGCUGGAGACUUUACUUAUCUUCAGUAUGUAUAAUGAAUAGGAGAUAUAAAGAUGUUGUCUAAGUUAAAUUAGUUUUGUUCUAUUUCUUGAAUAUACUGUCUGCUGAGCUUCUGGACUGGGCUGCCUUUCAGUCUCCAUUAACUUGUGGCUGCUUUCCUAGAGAAGCUGGGAGCCCUUUGGGCUUUGCCAGGGCAGGAGCUUCUCAGAGUGCUUUCAAAAUGUGGUGCUUACCCAGUGCUAAGAUCUAGAAUAGAUGCACCCAGUACACUUCCACUUUCCUGUCCCCACAGCCUAAAGCAGGGGAUGACAGAGUUUAGGAUGGAAGGUUGGGCCUCAGAAAGUUCUCUUCUUCUUAGCAAGUAAGGAGUGAUGUAACCAUUCAAUCAUUUACAGGGUAUGACUCAGUGCAGGAAGUUGUGACUCCUCCCUCCAGGUGCUUCUCACCCCAGGCCCUUUGAGCAGCCUGCUAUUAUUCAGGGUAAUAAGCAGCACCAUGUUCCCCAGUUCCACCAGGUUUCAA